GACGUAGGGCGCGAGCGUUGUCCGGAUUUAUUGGGCGUAAAGAGCUCGUAGGCGGUCUGUCGCGUCGGCUGUGAAAACUCGGGGCUCAACUCCGAGCUUGCAGUCGAUACGGGCAGGCUAGAGUUCGGCAGGGGAGACUGGAAUUCCUGGUGUAGCGGUGAAAUGCGCAGAUAUCAGGAGGAACACCGAUGGCGAAGGCAGGUCUCUGGGCCGAUACUGACGCUGAGGAGCGAAAGCGUGGGGAGCGAACAGG
This 253-nucleotide ribosomal RNA is filed under the name uncultured bacterium. RNAcentral's name for it is "partial 16S ribosomal RNA". It matches the Rfam family "Bacterial small subunit ribosomal RNA", at positions 524 to 776 of the family's 1533-position model. The record is from RNAcentral.